GGAUGUAGUUCAGUUGGUUAGAAUGUCGGUUUGUGGUACCGAAGGUCGUGGGUUCGAGCCCCAUCUUC
Molecule: transfer RNA, 68 nt
Filed under: zebrafish metagenome
Rfam family: tRNA
About the family: Transfer RNA (tRNA) molecules are approximately 80 nucleotides in length.
Source: RNAcentral